Molecule: long non-coding RNA, 152 nt
Filed under: Penaeus japonicus
Lineage: Eukaryota; Metazoa; Arthropoda; Malacostraca; Decapoda; Penaeidae
Description: uncharacterized LOC122257204
Source: RNAcentral
CUCAGAAGGACGAGGCACUGUCCACCUUCUUGUCAUGCCUGUGUAACGGCUCUCCCGUGGGACAUUAAUGGAAAAGUUGUUUGGACACUAAACCAGAUAUGAUAAGCAAGUGUCCCCGUCUUUCACCCUCAGCAAUGACGUACUUACCUUGA